CACGGGGGGCGUACACUUUUGAGAUCAAAGCAUAGCACUGUGGAUGUGCGAUCCAGUUCUGUUUUCUCCCCCUGAUAAUUGUUAUUUGACUUUUUCUUCUUUAUUACUGGUAUCAGCACGCCUCCCAUUCGGCACAAGUGGUU
Long non-coding RNA from Bufo bufo (common toad), 143 nucleotides. RefSeq lists it as uncharacterized. Lineage: Eukaryota; Metazoa; Chordata; Amphibia; Anura; Bufonidae. The record is from RefSeq and is a predicted model, not a curated record. The transcript has 3 exons.